AUUGAACGCUGGCGGCAUGCCUUACACAUGCAAGUCGAACGGCAGCACGGGUGCUUGCACCUGGUGGCGAGUGGCGAACGGGUGAGUAAUACAUCGGAACGUACCUUAUCGUGGGGGAUAACGCAGCGAAAGUUGCGCUAAUACCGCAUACGCCCUGAGGGGGAAAGCGUGGGACCGUAAGGCCUCUCGCGAUUAGAGCGGCCGAUGUCUGAUUAGCUUGUUGGUGAGGUAAAAGCUCACCAAGGCGAUGAUCAGUAGCUGGUCUGAGAGGACGAUCAGCCACACUGGAACUGAGACACGGCCCAGACUCCUACGGGAGGCAGCAGUGGGGAAUUUUGGACAAUGGGGGAAACCCUGGUCCAGCAAUGCGGCGUGAGUGAAGAAGGCCUUCGGGUUGUAAAGCUCUUUUGUCAGGGAAGAAACAGCAGCUCUAACACAGUCUGCGAAUGACGGUACCUGAAGAAUAAGCACCGGCUAACUACGUG
RNAcentral lists this ribosomal RNA (485 nucleotides) under uncultured bacterium. Its description in RNAcentral is "partial 16S ribosomal RNA". It matches the Rfam family "Bacterial small subunit ribosomal RNA", at positions 30 to 507 of the family's 1533-position model. The record is from RNAcentral.